This 254-nucleotide ribosomal RNA is filed under the name uncultured bacterium. RNAcentral describes it as "partial 16S ribosomal RNA". It matches the Rfam family "Bacterial small subunit ribosomal RNA", at positions 524 to 776 of the family's 1533-position model. The record is from RNAcentral.
UACGGGGGGAGCAAGCGUUGUUCGGAUUUACUGGGCGUAAAGGGCGCGUAGGCGGCCACGACAAGUCACUUGUGAAAUCUCCGGGCUUAACUCGGAAAGGUCAAGUGAUACUGUCGGGCUAGAGUACAGAAGGGGCAACUGGAAUUCUCGGUGUAGCGGUGAAAUGCGUAGAUAUCAGGAGGAACACCGGUGGCGAAGGCGGUUCUCUGGGCAUUACCUGACGCUGAGGAGCGAAAGUGUGGGGAGCGAACAGG